Molecule: transfer RNA, 70 nt
Filed under: Hemidactylus bowringii
Lineage: Eukaryota; Metazoa; Chordata; Lepidosauria; Squamata; Gekkonidae
Description: tRNA-Val
Source: RNAcentral
CAAGAAGUAGCUUACACCAAAGCACUCAACUUACAACUGAGAUACGCUCACCAGCCAUGAGCCUUCCUGA